RNAcentral lists this long non-coding RNA (326 nucleotides) under Lathyrus oleraceus (garden pea). RNAcentral's name for it is "Pisum sativum (pea) long non-coding RNA (PSAT_LNC033991)". The record is from RNAcentral. Lineage: Eukaryota; Viridiplantae; Streptophyta; Magnoliopsida; Fabales; Fabaceae.
UUUUGGUGUCUGUAAACAUCAUCUUCCGAUGUCUGUAAACGUCGAGUUUUCUCCCAUUCAUCCGUUGAUGUCUGGUCGAGUCUCCCCAGUCAUUCAUUAAUGUUUGGUUACCUCUCCGUUGGUCUUGGUAAACGUUGAGUUUUUCCCAUUUCGUCCGUUGACGUAUGGUUGUAUCCCUUCCGGUCAUUCAUUAAUGUCUGCUUACCUCUCCGUUGGUCUUGGUAAACGUCGAGUUUUUCCUAGUUGUCCGUUGGCAUCUAGUUGUGAUUUCUUUCCCCCAUUCAUCGUCGUUGCGAUGUCUGGAUGUGGCUGUACCCUUUAAAAAC